UCCCUGGUGGUCCAGUGGCUAAGACACCACACUUCCAAUGCCGAGGACCCAGGUUUGAUCCCUGGUCAGGGAA
Molecule: non-coding RNA, 73 nt
Organism: Bos taurus (domestic cattle)
Lineage: Eukaryota; Metazoa; Chordata; Mammalia; Artiodactyla; Bovidae
Source: Rfam